UACGUAGGGUGCAAGCGUUGUCCGGAAUUAUUGGGCGUAAAGGGUGCGUAGGCGGUUUGGUAAGUCUGAUGUGAAAUCUAUGGGCUCAACUCAUAGUCUGCAUCGGAAACUGCCGGGCUUGAGUGUGGGAGAGGUGAGUGGAAUUCCUGGUGUAGCGGUGAAAUGCGUAGAUAUCAGGAGGAACACCUGGUGGCGAAAGCGGCUCACUGGGCGAGUAACUGACGCUGGAGGAGCGAAAGCGUGGGGAGCGAACAGG
This 256-nucleotide ribosomal RNA is filed under the name uncultured bacterium. RNAcentral's name for it is "partial 16S ribosomal RNA". It matches the Rfam family "Bacterial small subunit ribosomal RNA", at positions 524 to 776 of the family's 1533-position model. The record is from RNAcentral.